This 73-nucleotide transfer RNA is filed under the name Marmota monax (woodchuck). Its description in RNAcentral is "tRNA.Ala". Lineage: Eukaryota; Metazoa; Chordata; Mammalia; Rodentia; Sciuridae. The record is from RNAcentral.
GGAAAUGUAGCUCAGUGGUACAGCACUUUGCCUAGCACAUGGUGCAAGGCCCUGGGUUCAAUUCCCAGUACCA